Leptonychotes weddellii (Weddell seal) is the source of this 1479-nucleotide non-coding RNA. The record is from RefSeq and is a predicted model, not a curated record. NCBI's taxonomy places the organism in Eukaryota, Metazoa, Chordata, Mammalia, Carnivora, Phocidae.
CUUCUCUUACUAGGAUGUGAAUACAAAUCUCCAACCCAGGCAUACCCGGUGAAAACCUGGGCCUCCCUUGGACUUACCAGGAAGGUCAGAGCUGCCGAGGAACCUUCUGUCACCAAGAGCAGAAAGACCUGGCCAUGAAGGGACCACUUUAGAAGUGGCGGGAUGUGGCAGUGUCAUCUGUCUGGGAUGCACACUUCUGCUGGACCACUCAAGGUGCUUCUUGUUCUAGCAGGAAGGGGAAUAUUCCAGUGGGUUCCUGCUUUGGAGGGGGAGAUUGUUGUGCAGCUGAACCCUGAGCCUGGAUGAGAGUUAGCUGGGUGGGGGCACCAGAACCUGGAGACCCAGACUGCUGAACAGCUGGGUGUGAAAUAGAGCAUACCACAAACUUGGGGGCUCGGCACUGCAGAAAUGCAUUCUUCCAUAAGAGGCCAAAGAUCCAGAAUCCAGGUUUCAUCAGGAUUGGUUCUCUCUGGAGGCUCCAAGGGACAUCGGUUCCAUGCCUUUCUCCCAGUUUCUGGUGGUCGCCAGCAACCCUUGGCAUUCCUGGGUCUGUAGAUGCCUCACUCUGAUCUCUGCCUCUGUCUUACAUGGCUUUCUUUCUUCUGCAUGCCUCCAUGAGUCUCAAAUCUCUCUGUCUUUCUAAGGACAUCUGCCAUGGGAUAUAGGGCCCACUCUAAAUCCAGGAUGAUCUCAUCUUGAGGUCUUUAACUUAAUUACAUCUGUAAAGACUUUUUUCUGAAUAAGGUCACAUCCCCAUGUUUCAAAGGGUUAGGACUUGGUCAUAUCCUCUUGGGGGUCAUUAUUCAACCCACUACCAAGAGGGUCCAGCAAGAGUGAAGACACUGCUACUCUCAUUGCCCUUUGGGCUACCACAGUUGGUCACGGCAUGUUGCAAAUCUCUCUCUGUCUAAUAAUUUGCAUGAUCUUAUAUUUGCAAAAGUUUCCAGCUCCUGGAACCUAAAUUGCAGCCUUUCAGCCAGUUCAGACCUGGCUGGAAGAUGGGUAUAACGGGGCCCUUUUGCAGAAGACAUUGGAGUGCUCAAUGGAAGGGGAAAUAGAGGGACACUUUGGGGCAGGUGAUCAGUUCCUGAGGAGCAAGGUUCUUCUUGAAACUCCUCCUCUUCUCUGCUUGUUGUCACUCCCUGGCCUUGUGUUGGUGGGCACCCCCCUCCCCCAUCCCUGCAACCCUCCCAGAUAGGAAAGCUUGAUUUGGGUUUGUUCAGUGUUUGGAGAGCUAGAGCCACUGCGUGGCAUUCUGUUUGGGAGCUGUAUCAUGACAGAGAAGGUCUGGCCUGCGGCUUGAGUUUCUUGGUGAAACUGAGAGACCCAAGGUGACAUGUCUGAGACCCCAUGUGGACAGGAAGGAAGCCUCCAUAGGGCGCAGGAACUUGGAAGCUGUCACUGAGUAAGAUACUCCAGGAAUCCUCACCUCACACCCUCUUUACCAAAGGGGGUAGCCAUUUUUAAAAAAAGAUUUUA